GCCCCAAAUCCACCCUUCUUCCAGCGGCGGCCCGUCCCCACAGCCCCCCCCCCCCCCCCCCUCCCCCGACAGCCAGAGACGUGCGAGCAGGUAGCGGGUUUAUUCUCCAAUAUUCGUUACAAGGAGCAGGCGAGGGCCCCGGGGCAGGUGGGGAACCAUCCCCGACAUCAAACGGUGCAGUUUCCCUCGCCGUAGCGCCGGCACUUCAUCACCUUCAGUGGGCAAAGCUCUAACUCAGACCCAAGCCACAUGCAUCUGGAGCUGAGAGAUCUGCAGCCUGCCACUCCUCCUGCCCUGCUUUGCUGACCCGCUGGCACAGUAAACAGGACAGUAAACAGUGUCAUAAAUGGGCCUUGCCCUCAUGAGAAGAGCACAGUGCACUCUUCAUUGUGUGAGCAAGCAGGGGUUGGCGAGUACCAGGCGAGGGCCUGGGAUUACCUCACUUUAGCCUUGGUUUACACCAUGCUGCUGACGUGAAACCGGCUGUCUGCCUUCACUAGGACAAGAGCUGAUGGCAUUACCUGUGCUGUGACCAGCUAUUUUUGCUCUCUGGGGCAUACCUGUAGAAUCUGGUGAUCUUUGUCAAGCGUAAAGGUUUUCAACCUUCAACAUCUAACUCGCACAAUGUCCAUCUGUGCUUACAGAGACCACAAAGUUAAUCUCAGACAAAUACCCUUCAGUGGAGGAAUGCCUUGGAGCCUGUAGGACUUGGACAUACACAUUAGACAUCAUCCUGAUACCCGUCCCAAGCACAGAGAUGCCAGGAUGAUCCAGACUGUGUGGUGCCCCUGAGGCUUGGUUUGUCCCCGAUCAUCUCUGGGCAUUAAAUGAGGCAGAAGCUUCGUGGAGAAGGCAGUGCGUGACUGAAAUGCUGGGCUGGGCAAACACAUGCCACUGGCAGAAUUACGUUGCAUAAGCAGCUCUCAAAUACCAGCUUGGCAUUUUUCUGGCUUUCAAAUGCCUGCAUUUGCGACCCAAAGUAGCAUCUCAUAAAGCAGCAUGACACUGUAAUUUCCAAGUUUCUUUUCUUUUUUCAAAGAGAAAACCCCCUCAGUUCUUUUCAGGGUGGUCCCAUGUCUACCCGCCUUGCCCUGAGCAUCACCAGCAGCAUCUGAACAAGUGAAGCAACUUUCCUUGCAGGCGUGCGCACUCCUUGGGUCCUCCCGACCCCCCAGCCUGGGGUGGUUGUGUGGAGAGGACCUUCCCAGGCUGAUAGAUGAGCUGCAACCAGUGAAUCCUGACCGAGGAGCCAGCUGCUGGCCCACAGCCCAGGCUCUGCACUUCAGUGGGCAACGACAUGGUUGACAGAGGUUUUAAGUGAUGGUUGACUACCUCUGCUAGCUCACGACUCAGAAGGGUGUUCCUGCUCUGGAUCUGCUGGAUGCUACUGUGACCUGGGGGAAGCAGCACAGGGAAAGCUCCAAGUCCCACCUCUGUGCCAGGCUCCCGGGGAACAGGGAUGAGCUCGGCAUGGCC
Molecule: long non-coding RNA, 1476 nt
Organism: Aquila chrysaetos chrysaetos
Lineage: Eukaryota; Metazoa; Chordata; Aves; Accipitriformes; Accipitridae
Exons: 5
Source: RefSeq, a predicted model, not a curated record